Gossypium raimondii (Peruvian cotton) is the source of this 326-nucleotide long non-coding RNA. RefSeq lists it as uncharacterized. The transcript has 2 exons. NCBI's taxonomy places the organism in Eukaryota, Viridiplantae, Streptophyta, Magnoliopsida, Malvales, Malvaceae. The record is from RefSeq and is a predicted model, not a curated record.
UUUAUCAACGCGCUGUAGUGCCUUAGAAUCCAAAGGGGGCCUAAGCAGGGGGUGGCACAAGUAAUUAUUCGCUCUACUAUUGACUUUAAGAGGGACCCAUGGCCUAAGGUUUCGGACAAUGCAAAGGACCUUGUAAAGAAAAUGCUUAAUCCUGAUCCAAAGUAGCGUUUUACAGUACAAGAAGUGCUUGAACAUCCAUGGCUACAAAAUGCCAAGAAAGCACCCAAUGUUCCGUUGGGUGAGAUUGUGAAAGCUAGGAUCAAACAAUUUUCUAUAAUGAACAAGCUGAAGAAGAGAGCUCUAAGGGUAAUAAUCCACUUGAUAUA